This 427-nucleotide ribosomal RNA is filed under the name uncultured Solirubrobacter sp. RNAcentral's name for it is "bacterial SSU rRNA". It matches the Rfam family "Bacterial small subunit ribosomal RNA", at positions 355 to 774 of the family's 1533-position model. The record is from RNAcentral. RNAcentral also lists the same sequence under 1 other name. Lineage: Bacteria; Bacillati; Actinomycetota; Thermoleophilia; Solirubrobacterales; Solirubrobacteraceae.
UGGGGAAUCUUGCACAAUGCGCGAAAGCGUGAUGCAGCAACGCCGCGUGGGGGAAGAAGGCCUUCGGGUUGUAAACCCCUUUCAGUUGGGACGAAGCUUCGUCGGUUAAUAGCCGGCCGGAGUGACGGUACCUUCAGAAGAAGCCCCGGCUAACUACGUGCCAGCAGCCGCGGUAAUACGUAGGGGGCAAGCGUUGUCCGGAAUCAUUGGGCGUAAAGCGCGUGUAGGCGGUUCGGUAAGUCUGCUGUGAAAGUCCAGGGCUCAACCCUGGGAUGCCGGUGGAUACUGUCGGGCUAGAGUACGGAAGAGGCGAGUGGAAUUCCCGGUGUAGCGGUGAAAUGCGCAGAUAUCGGGAGGAACACCAAUUGCGAAGGCAGCUCGCUGGGACGUCACUGACGCUGAGACGCGAAAGCGUGGGGAGCAAACA